Molecule: ribosomal RNA, 1333 nt
Filed under: uncultured bacterium
Lineage: Bacteria
Description: bacterial SSU rRNA
Rfam family: Bacterial small subunit ribosomal RNA
Source: RNAcentral
GACGAACGCUGGCGGCGCGCCUAACACAUGCAAGUCGAACGAGAGAUGAGGAGCUUGCUCUUCAAAUCGAGUGGCGAACGGGUGAGUAACGCGUGAGGAACCUGCCUCAAAGAGGGGGACAACAGUUGGAAACGACUGCUAAUACCGCAUAAGCCCACGGCUCGGCAUCGAGCAGAGGGAAAAGGAGCAAUCCGCUUUGAGAUGGCCUCGCGUCCGAUUAGCUAGUUGGUGAGGUAAUGGCCCACCAAGGCGACGAUCGGUAGCCGGACUGAGAGGUUGAACGGCCACAUUGGGACUGAGACACGGCCCAGACUCCUACGGGAGGCAGCAGUGGGGAACAUUGCACAAUGGGGGAAACCCUGAUGCAGCGACGCCGCGUGGAGGAAGAAGGUCUUCGGAUUGUAAACUCCUGUUGUUGAGGAAGAUAAUGACGGUACUCAACAAGGAAGUGACGGCUAACUACGUGCCAGCAGCCGCGGUAAAACGUAGGUCACAAGCGUUGUCCGGAAUUACUGGGUGUAAAGGGAGCGCAGGCGGGAGAACAAGUUGGAAGUGAAAUCCAUGGGCUCAACCCAUGAACUGCUUUCAAAACUGUUUUUCUUGAGUAGUGCAGAGGUAGGCGGAAUUCCCGGUGUGGCGGUGGAAUGCGUAGAUAUCGGGAGGAACACCAGUGGCGAAGGCGGCCUACUGGGCACCAACUGACGCUGAGGCUCGAAAGUGUGGGUAGCAAACAGGAUUAGAUACCCUGGUAGUCCACACCGUAAACGAUGAUUACUAGGUGUUGGAGGAUUGACCCCUUCAGUGCCGCAGUUAACACAAUAAGUAAUCCACCUGGGGAGUACGACCGCAAGGUUGAAACUCAAAGGAAUUGACGGGGGCCCGCACAAGCAGUGGAGUAUGUGGUUUAAUUCGACGCAACGCGAAGAACCUUACCAAGUCUUGACAUCCCUUGACGAACAUAGAAAUAUGUUUUCUCUUCGGAGCAAGGAGACAGGUGGUGCAUGGUUGUCGUCAGCUCGUGUCGUGAGAUGUUGGGUUAAGUCCCGCAACGAGCGCAACCCUUAUGGUCAGUUACUACGUAAGAGGACUCUGGCCAGACUGCCGUUGACAAAACGGAGGAAGGUGGGGAUGACGUCAAAUCAUCAUGCCCUUUAUGACUUGGGCUACACACGUACUACAAUGGCGUUAAACAAAGAGAAGCAAGACCGCGAGGUGGAGCAAAACUCAGAAACAACGUCCCAGUUCGGACUGCAGGCUGCAACUCGCCUGCACGAAGUCGGAAUUGCUAGUAAUCGUGGAUCAGCAUGCCACGGUGAAUACGUUCCCGGGCCUU